GAUGAACGCUGGCGGCGUGCCUAAUACAUGCAAGUCGAACGCUGGAAAUCUAGCUUGCUAGAUUGAAGGAGUGGCGAACGGGUGAGUAAUACAUAAGCAACCUACCCACGAAGACUGGGAUAAUCUCUGGAAACGGGGACUAAUACCGGAUAGGUAAUCGGAAGGCAUCUUCUGAUUAUUAAAGGUUAAAAACACUGGUGGAUGGGCUUAUGGCGCAUUAGUUAGUUGGUGAGGUAACGGCCCACCAAGACGAUGAUGCGUAGCCGGCCUGAGAGGGUGAACGGCCACAUUGGGACUGAGACACGGCCCAGACUCCUACGGGAGGCAGCAGUAGGGAAGUUUCGGCAAUGGGGGAAACCCUGACCGAGCAACGCCGCGUGAGUGAGGACGGCCUUCGGGUUGUAAAGCUCUGUUGUAAGGGAAGAACGGUAGAUAGAGAAUAUCUAAAUGACGGUACCUUACCAGAAAGCCACGGCUAACUACGUG
This 486-nucleotide ribosomal RNA is filed under the name uncultured bacterium. RNAcentral describes it as "partial 16S ribosomal RNA". It matches the Rfam family "Bacterial small subunit ribosomal RNA", at positions 28 to 507 of the family's 1533-position model. The record is from RNAcentral.